UUUCCGUAGGUGAACCUGCGGAAGGAUCAUUAUUGUAUAACCGAGGUGCGAGGGCUGUCGCUGACCCGAAAGGUCGUGGACGCCCGAGUGCCCUCACACACAUCCAUCUCACCCCUAUGUGCACCACCGCGUGGGUCCCCCUUUGGCUUGUUCGGAGGGGGGCUUACGUUUUCACACAAACUUUGUAUGCAGUGUAGAAUGUAUUUUUUGUUUUUGCGAUCACGCAAUCAAUACAACUUUCAACAACGGAUCUCUUGGCUCUC
This 263-nucleotide unclassified non-coding RNA is filed under the name plant metagenome. Its description in RNAcentral is "partial contains small subunit ribosomal RNA, internal transcribed spacer 1, and 5.8S ribosomal RNA". The record is from RNAcentral.